GGAAAUUUUCCCGUGUAAAUCUUCUCUACAGCAGACUGACCUAGGGUUUUGCGGAGACGGUGGUGAAGAAGAGAAAUGGCGAGUAGAAGCGACGACUACCGCUUCCUUCAGUUAGUAGACGCCAUGGCUUCGAUCAAUCAGAAAGUGAAUCUCAUCGGAGUCGUCGUCGAGACGAGUAUCCCGAAACAGUCAAAGGGCACUGAUUGUUUUUGUACCAUUAAAAUUGUUGAUGAAUCAUAUUCAAGUCCUGGGAUUUCAGUCAAUAUUUUUGCUCAAAAUAUGGAGACACUCCCUCAUGUUGAGUCAGCAGGAGAUAUAAUUCAGCUUUCUCACGUGCAGAUGAAAACUCAUGGACGGGAAGUAUACGCACUUUUUAACAAAAAGUUCUCUUCAUUUGCUCUAUUUGAAGGGAAUUACAGUGCAAACUUUGCUCCUUACCAGUUAUCUCCAAACUUUCGGCCCAGAGACCAAGACAAGAAGUUCAUAGUGGUCCUAAGAAAGUGGUCCAUCGACUAUCUUGAUAGAGUAGACGCAAAUGAAUUCUUAUCAUUGAAAGAGAUCAGGGUGGGAAAACGCCUAAAUUUGAUGUGCAAGGUUCUUCAUAGCUAUGAAGUUCUAAAAAAUGAGUGGGUGAUAUUCAUUUGGGAUGGAACUGAUGCUCCACCAGUUACUAUUCAAUCAAAGCUAGAUGACGAAAUGGAGAACUCGCUACCGUUACGGUUUGAACCAUUUCCCUUGUCAAGGGAUGUUUUAUGUGCAUUCCCAGCUGUUGGAACUGUGUUGAGGGUUAUGGCUGAUCAAGGCAAUGAGAAGCUUGGCCUUCACUUGCUAAAACGUGGUAGAUGGGUGAAAUUUGUUAAUAUGGUCUUUGAACUUCAUGGUGGACUGUGGCAUGGUUUGCUGAUGCCCUCUACUAAACUCCGAUACUUGCCCAAUGAUGACCCUCUCGUGCUGCAGUCGCAAAGGAAUUAUGAGGAGCGGUUGUCAUCAAAAUGGGCACGUAUGCCUUUGUCGAGCUUUCCAUGGUGUUCUCAUAUAACAGAUUUAGCAGAAAGAGAGGCAUUUGCCAAGAUAGGUGUCAAUUGCAUAUAUAAGAGAGGGAACUCAACAGUCCCCUGGUUUGUUUUUUGUUUGCUUGUGGUUUUAAAUAUUUCUAAAAGCCAUAUGAACUUAAUCUGCCGGAACCCAACCCCACCUUUAUACAAAUGGAGUAUCAAACUCCUCCAUAGGAUUUGAACCCAUAUAACUUCACACGACGAAGUGGAGCUAGUGCGCCACUGGAUCAACUGAUUCAACUGGUCCUCUACUUUGAGGCAUUUUUCGUACUUUUUUUUUGCGCUGAUUAUACUCUUUUUGGUUUUUUGUUGUACAUCUGUUUUAGGAGAUUUAUACUAUAGGUUGGCAACACUAGCAUAUUCAGCUUUUGUGUGGUAUAGACAGGAAUUUAAUUUUGGUUCACGCCAGUAGACGAAAUGGUCAUCUGCUUUGAGGAAUUUUUAAACUCAUUUCUUACAGUGAUUACAAAUAAUUUUCAAAACUGAAACCCAAUCAAAGCCACUAUUGUUUUACUUUUCUUUGAGGAGAGACUUGUGCUAUAUGUUGGCUACACUGCUAUAUACAUCUUUUCUUUUGAAAUAGUUACUAGACAGGAAUUUCCAUUUGGCUCUUCAGGCACUUUCUUUGAGCCAUUUUCAUUCACAAGUCUUCGUUGGUUAUACUUGUUAUGGCUUGUUUUAAUUCUUCUGAAAUAUGAUCCAUGCUAAAAGAUGAAAAUGGUGUUAGGUAUGCCUGUUCGUUGAAAAAUUAAUGAGAAAAUUACCUCUAAGGAUAGAAAAGUGCAUGUCAAUUUCCAUUAAGAAUGAACUCAGUUUUUAUUUACCUCUAAUGACGAUCACAUUAUGAAGAUUAUCCUUUUACCCUUCAAUAAAUACAAUUUCAUACUUUAUUUUUUUUCUUCCUAUUAUAGGGUAAGCUAGGGUGCCCUAGGGUUUAGGCACUUUCAUAGGGUUUUAGAGUGCACUUUUCUAUUAUAGGGUUUUAGUAUUUAGGCACUUUCAUAGGGUUUAGGGUUUUAGGCACUUUCAUAGGGUACCUUAGGGUUUAGGUUUAGGCACGUUUUAGUGGUUUAGGCACUUUUAUAGGGGCAAUUUUGAAAAAAUAUUCCAGAAAUACUUAACGGUGCAUUUCCGUUUUUUUCUGAAUCUACACGUAAAAACCCCAUAGUUAAUCUGGUGGAACUUCUUAGGUGUCAAGGAAGUAUCAGGCUGAUGUUUUCAGUUGUUGAGGGAGGUUUAGGUGAUGGUGGCAAAUUACAGUCAUCCACUUGUAGUGGUGACAAUGGCAGUGAGAUGGAAUAAGGAAUUUUUGCUUCAGAUGUCAGUUUGUCUUGUCUUCAAAUUGAGAACAUCUCUUCUCUUUAUAAUUGUGUUUGUAUUUUGCCGUCUACCUUUUACUUCAGCACUUUUGUUUUCCUUCGAUUUCUGGUACAGGUAGAUAUCCUUCCGAUGACAAAGUUCAUUACUUUUAGCCUUCAUAUUUGAAUAUUUGGGCUCGCUUGUCUCCAACUCUUUUUUCUGUUCUUUUCUUGGUGUUUGGAUUUCCUUUGGGAAUUUGUCAGUUGUGUUCUAAAUUGAUUUCUGAACGAAGCCAACCUGUUUAUCAGCCAAACUGGGGUGGGUUUUUGUCUGUCUGAAACUCUGGAUACUCUGACUUAAAUGAAAUGCAACAAGACUUUGAUUUUAUUUCACAUGUUCGAGAUUAUGAUCAAUAUGAUAUAUUGUGUAUCAAAUAUAGUAGGGUGAAGUAUCAAUACAUGUUAAAAAUUCAGAGUGUAGGUUAGAAGUGAGUGUGAGCAAAUUGGAAUGAAUUAUUAGAUUUUAAUGGAAAGUUCAUUAUUAUUAUUAUUAUUAUUAUUCAUUUUAAGUUACUCAGCAGAUGAAUGUUCUGUUAGGUUUUCUAUUUAAGUUCUGGAUUUGAAAGCAACUUUAAUUUCAGCAACCUAAUGUCACCUCUAUGUUUCAUCUCCGUGAAUCUUUACU
RNA transcript from Rhododendron vialii, 3038 nucleotides. It is a transcript of the gene named protection of telomeres protein 1b, with no coding region annotated. The transcript has 9 exons. The record is from RefSeq and is a predicted model, not a curated record. NCBI's taxonomy places the organism in Eukaryota, Viridiplantae, Streptophyta, Magnoliopsida, Ericales, Ericaceae.